Molecule: non-coding RNA, 72 nt
Organism: Picea glauca (white spruce)
Lineage: Eukaryota; Viridiplantae; Streptophyta; Pinopsida; Pinales; Pinaceae
Source: Rfam
GUGUAAAUGAUGUAAUUUAACUACUAAUUUUAUUGAUGUCUUAAAAUUUGAGAUUUUUAAAACUGAUGCACA